UCACAACAAACACUAUCAGAAUAUAAAUAACCUCUUCCAACUUCGACUGUGUAAUUUAAUUCCAUCAUGUUAACUGUUAUAAUAUUCACUUGUAUCAUCACUGUAGUCGUUGGAGAAACCAAGUCUUCAAAUUGCAGCCUUCCAGCAGAUUGUGAUCGUCGUAAAUGUCCAAUUCCAGGAUGUGCUCCAGGUUCCUUAUACAGCGAAAAUGACCCGUGUGUGUGCUGUCCCAGAUGCCUGUUAAUUAAAAAAAAUGGUGAAAAGUGCGGAGGAAGAUUAUCCAAUACCAUAUGCGACAGUGGUCUGAAAUGUAUAGACGGUAUUUGUAAAUGAAGAUUAUGAUUUACAUGCCGUGAGGAAACUAUAUUGAUUCAUGAAACAAUAAAAUAUGAAACAAAUAAAA
Molecule: long non-coding RNA, 403 nt
Organism: Leptinotarsa decemlineata (Colorado potato beetle)
Lineage: Eukaryota; Metazoa; Arthropoda; Insecta; Coleoptera; Chrysomelidae
Source: RefSeq, a predicted model, not a curated record